CUGCUCAAUGAAUUUUAAAUAGCUGCAGUAUAAAUAACUGUACAAAGGUAGCAUAAUAAUUUGUUUUUUAAUUGAAAACUAGAAUGAAUGAUUUAAUGAAAUAUAAACUGUAUCAAAUUUAAAUAAUAAAUUUAUUAUUUAAAUAAAAAAAUUUAAAUAAUUUUUAAAAGACGAGAAGACCCUAUAGAAUUUUAAUAAUAAUUUAUUAUAAAUUUAAAUUUAUUUAUUAUAUUAAUUGGGGAAAUUUUAAAAUUUUAAAAAUUUUUAAUUAAAAAAACAUAAAGUUUUGAAUAUUUAUUAUUUUUUAAAAAAAUAAAUUAAAUUACCUUAGGGAUAACAGCAUAAAUUUUUUAGAAAGUUCAAAGUUAUAAAAAAGUUUAUGACCUCGAUGUUGAAUUAAGAU
Molecule: ribosomal RNA, 403 nt
Filed under: Cotesia congregata
Lineage: Eukaryota; Metazoa; Arthropoda; Insecta; Hymenoptera; Braconidae
Description: partial 16S ribosomal RNA
Source: RNAcentral